UACGGAGGGUGCGAGCGUUAAUCGGAAUUACUGGGCGUAAAGCGUGCGCAGGCGGGCUUUUAAGCCAGACGUGAAAUCCCCGGGCUCAACCUGGGAAUGGCGUUUGGGACUGGGAGUCUGGAGUGCGGCAGAGGGGACUGGAAUUCCUGGUGUAGCAGUGAAAUGCGUAGAGAUCAGGAGGAACACCGAUGGCGAAGGCAGGUCCCUGGGUUGACACUGACGCUCAUGCAAGAAAGCGUGGGGAGCAAACAGG
RNAcentral lists this ribosomal RNA (253 nucleotides) under uncultured bacterium. RNAcentral describes it as "partial 16S ribosomal RNA". It matches the Rfam family "Bacterial small subunit ribosomal RNA", at positions 524 to 776 of the family's 1533-position model. The record is from RNAcentral.